AGGGUUUGAUCAUGGCUCAGGAUGAACGCUAGCGGCAGGCCUAACACAUGCAAGUAGAACGGUAACAGAGAGAGCUUGCUCUCUGCUGACGAGUUGCGAACGGGUGCGUAACGCGUAUGCAACCUACCCAUAACAGGGGGAUAGCCCAUAGAAAUGUGGAUUAAUACCCCAUAACAUCAUAGAUUGGCAUCAUGAAAUGAUUAAAACUCCGGUGGUUAUGGAUGGGCAUGCGUGACAUUAGCUAGUUGGUGAGGUAACUGCUCACCAAGGCUACGAUGUCUAGGGGUUCUGAGAGGAUGAUCCCCCACACUGGUACUGAGACACGGACCAGACUCCUACGGGAGGCAGCAGUGAGGAAUAUUGCGCAAUGGAGGAAACUCUGACGCAGCCAUGCCGCGUGCAGGAAGACUGCCCUAUGGGUUGUAAACUGCUUUUAUAUAGGAAGAACUACAGCUACGUGUAGCUGUUUGACGGUACUAUACGAAUAAGGACCGGCUAACUCCGUGCCAGCCGCCGCGGUAAUAC
This 525-nucleotide ribosomal RNA is filed under the name uncultured bacterium. RNAcentral's name for it is "bacterial SSU rRNA". It matches the Rfam family "Bacterial small subunit ribosomal RNA", at positions 8 to 526 of the family's 1533-position model. The record is from RNAcentral.